GCCUACAUGAAGCCGGAAUUGCUAGUAAUCGCGGAUCAGCAUGCCGCGGUGAAUACGUUCCCGGGCCUUGUACACACCGCCCGUCACACCACGAGAGUUUGUAACACCCGAAGUCGGUGGAGUAACCUUACUAGGAGCUAGCCGCCUAAGGUGGGACAGAUGAUUGGGGUGAAGUCGUAACAAGGUAGCCGUAUCGGAAGGUGCGGCUGGAUCACCUCCUUU
Molecule: ribosomal RNA, 222 nt
Filed under: Alkalihalobacillus sp. MEB130
Lineage: Bacteria; Bacillati; Bacillota; Bacilli; Caryophanales; Bacillaceae
Description: partial 16S ribosomal RNA
Rfam family: Bacterial small subunit ribosomal RNA
Source: RNAcentral